Molecule: ribosomal RNA, 490 nt
Filed under: uncultured bacterium
Lineage: Bacteria
Description: partial 16S ribosomal RNA
Rfam family: Bacterial small subunit ribosomal RNA
Source: RNAcentral
AAUGAACGUUGGCGGCGUGGAUUAGGCAUGCAAGUCGAGCGCGAUGAGUUUGGUAGCUUGCUAUUGAACUCGGAAAGCGGCGAAAGGGAGAGUAACGCGUAGUUACGUGCCCCAGGGUUCGGAAUAGCCACGGGAAACUGUGGGUAAUGCCGAAUAACAUCUCCGGAUCAAAGGUGUGAUUCCGCCCUGGGAGCGGACUGCGUCCUACUAGCUAGUUGGCGGGGUGAUGGCCCACCAAGGCAACAAUGGGUAGCGGGUGUGAGAGCAUGACCCGUCUCACUGGGACUGAGACACUGCCCAGACACCUACGGGUGGCUGCAGUCGAGAAUCUUCGGCAAUGGGCGAAAGCCUGACCGAGCGACGCCGCGUGCGGGAUGAAGGCCCUCGGGUUGUAAACCGCUGUCGUAGGGGAGGAAGGCUCUGUGAAGAACAGGGUUUGACCUAUCCUAGGAGGAAGUACGGGCUAAGUUCGUGCCAGCAGCCGCCGCAG